AGCGGCGGAGCCUCUGCGGAGCCGGGCUUGCGCUUUCCCUGCCAGCCCAGUUUCCAGCUUAAAUCAUGGCCCUAAUGUUACGUUAAUGUGCUUUGGGGCCCUAGUGAGUAGAGUGGGUGGCAGGGGAGCAGCAGUUCAUUUCCUUUGGAGUUUGGAACGUCCCUGACACUGCGCAGGUCCUCGGUGAGAGGGAUCCUGGCAGCUGGGAGCACCUUUGGGGACCUCCUCCUGAGUCAGCGCCCUUCCUGGCAAAGUUACAUUCUUGCUAGGGACAGGAAGAAAGGAAGUGGACACCUAGGAGACAGCUCACACAUGCCAUGCGUGUUUCGGUCGUCAUAGUAUGGGGUCUUUACAGUGACCUCGUGGGGGCAGGUUUGCUGCUCGUGCCCAGAUUCCGAAGGACUGUUGAGGGUCAGCAAUUCGCCUGCGGGGCUCAGCAGGUCGGUGGCCGGUAACCUUGCUGUUUGUGCUGUGAAUAGAUCCUGGGCUCUGGUGUCCUGGGAGGGCUCUUGCGAAGGGGUCCUCACGUAGUUCCACCUGAAGCUUUCCAAGGGCAUAACCGAAUCCUGUCCCUAAAGGCACUAUGCCGAAGGCAGGUAUGGCCGCGUGCACUGAAUUCAGCUCGGUGAGACGGUGGGACGCACCACGAGGGAAAACAUGUCCUUGUCACUGGCUGGCACAGAGGGCUGUGUCUACAUCAGGUAAAUAAACGGAAGAGAGCAACUGUCCGGUGAGUUGUGGCUGAAGAUAAACUUUUCCGUUACCAGAGGAGGGCUGGCUUGACAAGAACACACCAGGAUGGAAGCCUGGCAGAGAAAUACCAGUCAGUACUCCAGAAAUUCAGCGGCAGGGGAAAAACACAGGGACCUGCUGUAGUCCCCGGUGUCACAGAACGCGGCCCAGUGCCUGUGCCAGGAAGCUCUCCAUAGAUGCUGACUCAAACUUUAAUGACGUUUUAAAAGUUCAGUCUUCUGAAAGGGUCCUGAUGCCAUGAUCCACCCCCAGCCAUGACCAGCCCCAGAUCACCCACUCGGUGAGGUCUUUGGAUAGAACUGGAACCUUCCCACAUGGGUCAACCUCACAGAGCAUCAUGCAUUUUACCCCUGCACCACCUUCUGGCCCCAGAUGAUGGUUUGGAAAAUGCUGAUGGAGCAGCUGUGCCUCUUAGGCUCCCUGGAGCCGAAGUGACUCUUGGGUUGAUUUGAUGCAGUCUGCUCUCCCUGUGAAAGCCUGAAAUAAGAAACCAAACCUUAGACACACACCAAAUCAGUUUAUUGUCUUCCCAGUUACUGACAGAGUAGGGAGCUGUUUCCUGUUAGCUCCUCAGUUGCGGAAGGCGCUGCAUUGGGUGAUCUAUUCGGGAGCCAUUUUGAGAGCUGUCUGCUAUCUUAAGCUAUUUGCCAUCUUAGAAACCUUUGGUUUUCACUUCCCCAUCCAGCAAAACUUUUUCUCAGAAAUCACAUGACCAGCCAAAGGGCGGAUAGGUUUCUAGGCAAGGAGAGGAAGUUUCUUAACGCCCCGUUGUUGCCUGGAGGCCUGUUUUCAUUUACGGGUCACUCAUCUAUUGGUUCCCUCUGAAUCCUCAUGCUGAUUGGUCAACUUGCGGGACACUUGCUGAUUGGCCGAACUAGAAUGCCUCAUUUACAUUUAGGGCAGCUUCCUGGACACAAAUGAUUGGUCCAUACUGUGAUACCUUAUUUGCAUUUUGGGCACCAAUCAAUGCCCACCAGCAUGUAUAUAAUUGCAGUCUGUGCUACAAUAAAUGAGUCUUGACCAGUA
Tupaia belangeri chinensis (Chinese tree shrew) is the source of this 1779-nucleotide long non-coding RNA. RefSeq lists it as uncharacterized. The record is from RefSeq and is a predicted model, not a curated record. Lineage: Eukaryota; Metazoa; Chordata; Mammalia; Scandentia; Tupaiidae. The transcript has 2 exons.